GAGUUUGAUCCUGGCUCAGGACGAACGCUGGCGGCGUGCUUAACACAUGCAAGUCGAACGGUGAACCGGGCUUCGGCCCGGGGAUCAGUGGCGAACGGGUGCGUAACACGUGGGCAACCUGCCCCAGACUCUGGGAUAACUCCGGGAAACCGGGGCUAAUACCGGAUACUCCGAUCGAACCGCAUGACUCGAUUGGGAAAGCUCCGACGGUCUGGGAUGGGCCCGCGGCCUAUCAGCUUGUUGGUGGGGUAACGGCCUACCAAGGCGACGACGGGUAGCUGGUCUGAGAGGACGACCAGCCACACUGGAACUGAGAUACGGUCCAGACUCCUACGGGAGGCAGCAGUGGGGAAUCUUGCACAAUGGGCGAAAGCCUGAUGCACCGACGCCUCGUGGGGGACGAAUGCCUUCGGGUUGUAAACCCCUUUCGGCAGGAAAGAAACGAAGGUGACGGUACCUGCAGAAGAAGCUCCGGCUAACUACGUGCCAGCAGCCGCGGUAAGACGUACGCCAGCGAGCAUUGUCCGGAUUCAUUGGACGUAAAUCGCGCGUACUCUAUUUGACAAGUCGGAUGUGAAAUCCCGAUGCUCAGCCUCGAGACUGCAUCCCAGACUGCCCGACUAGAGGUAGGUAGGGGAGAUCGGAAUUCCUGGUGUAGCGGUGAAAUGCGCAGAUAUCAGGAGGAACACCGGUGGCGAAGGCGGAUCUCUGGGCCUUACCUGACGCUGAGGCGCGAAAGCUAGGGGAGCGAACAGGAUUAGAUACCCUGGUAGUCCUAGCCGUAAACGUUGGGUGCUAGGUGUGGGCGGAUAUCGACCCCGUCCGUGCCGAAGCUAACGCAUUAAGCACCCCGCCUGGGGAGUACGGCCGCAAGGCUAAAACUCAAAGGAAUUGACGGGGGCCCGCACAAGCGGCGGAGCAUGCUGAUUAAUUCGAUGCAACGCGAAGAACCUUACCAAGGCUUGACAUAUACCGGAAACAUCUGGAAACAGGUGCCCCGCAAGGUCGGUAUACAGGUGGUGCAUGGUUGUCGUCAGCUCGUGUCGUGAGAUGUUGGGUUAAGUCCCGCAACGAGCGCAACCCACGUUCUAUGUUGCCAGCGCGUUAUGGCGGGGACUCAUAGGAGACUGCCGGGGUCAACUCGGAGGAAGGUGGGGAUGACGUCAAAUCAUCAUGCCCCUUAUGUCUUGGGCUUCAAGCAUGCUACAAUGGCCAGUACAAAGGGCUGCGAGACCGCAAGGUGGAGCGAAUCCCAAAAAACUGGUCUCAGUUCGGAUUGGGGUCUGCAACUCGACCCCAUGAAGUCGGAGUCGCUAGUAAUCGCAGAUCAGCAACGCUGCGGUGAAUACGUUCCCGGGCCUUGUACACACCGCCCGUCAAGUCACGAAAGUCGGUAACACCCGAAGCCGGUGGCCUAACCGCAAGGAAGGAGCCGUCGAAGGUGGGACUGGCGAUUGGGACUAAGUCGUAACAAGGUAGCCGUACCGGAAGGUGCGGCUGGAUCACCUCCUUUCU
Molecule: ribosomal RNA, 1515 nt
Filed under: uncultured bacterium
Lineage: Bacteria
Description: partial 16S ribosomal RNA
Rfam family: Bacterial small subunit ribosomal RNA
Source: RNAcentral